UCCCUGGUGAUUCAGACAGUAAGAAAUUUGCCUGAAAUGCAGGAGACCUGGGUUCAAUCCCCAGGUUGGGAA
Molecule: transfer RNA, 72 nt
Filed under: Bos taurus (domestic cattle)
Lineage: Eukaryota; Metazoa; Chordata; Mammalia; Artiodactyla; Bovidae
Also listed under: 4 other names
Rfam family: tRNA
About the family: Transfer RNA (tRNA) molecules are approximately 80 nucleotides in length. Their secondary structure includes four short double-helical elements and three loops (D, anti-codon, and T loops).
Source: Rfam by way of RNAcentral